Molecule: long non-coding RNA, 316 nt
Organism: Artibeus jamaicensis (Jamaican fruit-eating bat)
Lineage: Eukaryota; Metazoa; Chordata; Mammalia; Chiroptera; Phyllostomidae
Exons: 3
Source: RefSeq, a predicted model, not a curated record
UAAAGAAUUAACCAUAUCGGAGUGAGAUCCUUCCCUGAGUAGACUGAAACCGAGAUGUAACUGUCUUGAGCAGAUGCAGGUAUUUUCUGCGUAAUGCUGUGCAUAAGAAUAAAGAAAAUGAGGUACAAAUGGACCAUCUGGGAAGGCCAGGCUGUUCCCUUGAGUCACCACGGAGAGAAGUUUUGGGAGGGAAGGAAGAGGAAAUGGGAAAAGAUGCCUCACUAUUUGUGAGAAUAGAAAGGGAGCCCAGGAAUUCUGAGGCUUGUACCCCUGGGCCGUCAGUUUGAGAGUGGCUGAGGCUGUAAACAAUCACUUG